Molecule: long non-coding RNA, 3811 nt
Organism: Vespula vulgaris
Lineage: Eukaryota; Metazoa; Arthropoda; Insecta; Hymenoptera; Vespidae
Exons: 2
Source: RefSeq, a predicted model, not a curated record
AUAUAUAUAUAUAUAUAGUCGUUUACACCUGCCUCGGCCUUCGAUCCUUUCGAUAUAUCGACGCUAUAGUUGAUCCCGAUAUGGAAAACAUAGCCGUUACAUCGGUAGUUAGGCAUAUAAAAAAAAUUCAUUGGUAACGUACACACACAUAUACACAUACAUACAUACAUUUAUUUUUGUUUUGAAAUAUAUAUCUGUGCUCAUAUCGUACCAUUGCGACCUUCAAUAGACAACGUUUCUUCUGUUCUCUUUGUGUUUACAUAGAUCACCUUUGUUAAUGAAUCGAACGUACGCGAGUACAUAGCGAACAUCGUCAGUCUUUCGUAGGUCGUCGAAGAGGUUACACCUUCUAUUCCUUCGUUUGAUUAAAUUGAAUCUUUGAUCGUUUAUUAUAUACUACGCUUAUUAUAAACCAUAUAAAUCGCUUUAUAAUUACUAGUUUCAAUUCUCAACUUGUUUAAUAAUUCAUUAAUUACGAUUUUUAUAUAUAUAUAUAUAUGUAUGUACAGAUACGUAUAUAAUCGAAAGAUAACAAUCAUUCCAAUUAGAAAGAACGAAUGAUAAACAGACUCGAGGAAACAUCGUGUACGUUUAUGUUAUUUUAUCUCUUCCGCGGAUCAGAAAUUCAUCUUCGGCGUCGAUCGUCGAGUUAGUUGCUAGUGCCUGUUUAAAUCGAUAAGAAAAAUAUUGUACCGUCGAGAGGAAGCAAUUUAAAGCCAUCGCCGUGUACGAUUCUACUCGCGGUACCCUCCUGAUGGCGCCGCGGUAACAAACUGCUACUAAAUCACCUUUGGCAGACCGUGAACCCGUUCAUCUCGAAGACCGGCGGACGCAGGUGUUGGCUAAAGCGGUCUCAACGAGUAAAGAAAGAAGAAGAGGAAGAAGAAGAAGAAGAAGAGGAGGAUCCAAUCUCGGACGUGCCGCACCGAUGUUAUAAUAUUCCGAAGGAAUAAGUAAACGAUUACCAGAGCGUGCUGCGGUCUUUCGUGAAAGAAGAAGGCUCAUGGUGAAAGACUCAAACUUUUCUAACGACUUCAUUUCAACGCCUACUCCACUUCGUCCUUCUUCAAUAGGUGCUAAUUUAAAUCAUCGUUCGUUCGUUUCCCGUUUUAUUUCGUAUAUUUAAUUCUUUCUUAUACCAUCUUGACAUAUAUUUAACGAUAUAAUUUUGGACGAGCGAGAUUUUCCGAUGUACUUGAGUUUUCGAUAGAAUGAUUUUUGAUAGGGUAUGUAUAUCUUUGAUUUACGUUUAUCUUUAAGUUUCGUUAUUUCUCUAAGAAGAAGAACACGGCGACGAUGAAGAUGAAGAAGAUGAUUCGUUUUGGAAAUUUCGAAGUUUAGCACGUGGCAUCGAUAGAAAACGUCACUUUAACUUCGUCCCACCUUCGGCGAAUGGAAAACAAAGGAUGCGUUUGCACCGAUCACGUAACGAGACGGAAAGUAUAGCUUCGAGCGCAACUAUGAAUUAUACGGGCCGCGAUUAUAGGUAUUACGCGCAUGUAGCGACCGUAAACGGUUGUACGUUGUGCUAGAGAGGUCGCUAAAGAGGACCACGAGUUGUUUUGUUUUUGUUCCUCUUCUGUUUUCUUUCCUCUUUUUUUUUUUCUCUGUCUCACUUGAUAAACUUACUUACACGACAGAUGAAUCAUCGUUGUUAUUAAUUCGUUCGUUCUUGAUAUACGCAUUUCGAGAUAUACAUUGUUAAUGCGAAAGAAAAAAACAUAGGAAGGAGAAAAAGAAGAAGAAGAAGGAAAAGAAGAGAGAAAAAAAAAGAAGAUUCGUUGGAUCAUUUCUGCGUAAAGUAAAUUUUCUACGCACGUGUGUUUGUGUGUGUAAGUAUACAUAUUUUUUUCUUCUUCGUGUUUCCUUCUUUUUCUUUUUUUUCAACGCGGUUCACGUAAUUAUUGCUGUUCGUUGCGUUAAGAUCACGACAAGAUGGCCGAAGCUUUUCAACUUUUUGAUAAUGGUUAAAGAUAACAGAAGAGGGUAAAGAGAGAGGAAAAGAAGGAGAGAGAAAGGGAGAGAGAGAGAGAGAGAGAGAGAGUCCUGCGAAAAUCGUCGAAGCCGACGAUUAUCACUCGUUCGACGUACGCGAGCCGUAUCGCUCGCUUGUCUCGGGCAAAUUGGCUCGCGUGUCUUCCGGCCGAAGCUCGUGGAAUUUAUGGCUUCAUCGUGCUUUCUCAUCUUAUGUCGUUACCCUCAACGUCCUAUCUAUUCUGCGUUAGGUAGAGAAACAAGUGGACGUUUUUUCUUUUUUUUUUCUUUUUCUUUUUUAUUGUUUUUUUUUCGUCAAUAGACAUCGAGCCACCAUAAGUAUCUACCUACCUAUCUACCUACCUACCUACCUAAAUAUCAUUUUCGUUUUUUAUGAGUACAACGAAAUGCCAAUAUACAAGAAGAAUAAUUCUCGUCCGUAGACAUUGCGAAUUAUUUGUAACAAGGUAUCGUACAUAGAUCACGGUGUUAGUCAUUGAAAAUUGCACUUUAAAGAGCUCGUAAAUAGAGCUUGCGAAGUGCGCUCGAAUGUUAACGCUUCGGAUCGCUGCAAUUUGCAAAGUGAAUGGGAUCGUACUAACAUGGUUUGUAAGAAAGGAAAAGGAUUUGCCACGAGAGAGAAUAUUCGUUCUUUCAUGCUUCGACGAAUGAAAUAUUAUUGGGUAAGAAUGUUUUCGCGAUAUCGAUGAUUUCAUUUUUGUAUUAAUUGCUUGAACAUUUUUCUAUGCGAUUUAUAAUAGUUUAUAGCUCGUAUAGAUGUAGAAGUAUAAUAUGUAGAAUCGUGGCAAAUUGAAUAACCGACGAUCUUCUUAAUUCGAUUUGAAGAUCAUGUUCAUGUAUGUGGGAUCGGUUUAUCAGAUCGUUUCUAUUGAAUCAGUCCAUUAGUAGUCCAUCUAAACCCUUCGGAUAUCCCUCUCUCUCUCUCUCUCUCUCUCUCUCUCUCUCUCUCUCUCUCUCUCUCUCUCUCUCUCUCGCUUUUUCUCUUUCUUUCUUUUUCUAUUCGCUAGACACGUUUCCUCGUCGCAAAAUCCACCCUCGACCAUCGCGAUUGGUUUUACGCGUAGAUCUCUGCAACAGACUGUGACAUAUUAGGUUACCCCUCGAGGAUAUCAUCCCUGUUUAAGAGACCCAUAAAGAGAGGGUGACUCUAAAAGUAAAUUUAUUGUUUCGCGAUGUUUAGUGGCCGAACGAAAGCCGUGGGAGCGAACGUCGUUCUUUCCCUCGUUCUAUAAUAAUAUCUUUUCAACGUACUUAAAGAACUUUAAUUCAUCUUGAUUAACUAAUUGAAUUAAUUGAAUGGAAUUUUUAUUUUUAUCUAAUUCCUUUGAUCGCUCUAAUUACUUAUUCUAUUACUGUAAUUAUUUGUAAGUUAUUAAUUUAACGAUUUAUAUGGUAUAUUCGUAGGAAUAUUUUUUAUUGGAAUUGGUUGGAAAUAUAACGAAUUCAUAGAUUUAGAAUAUUUCAAAUUUUCGAAAAGAGAAUUUUUGCCGAACAAUAAAGCGUUCUCGACGAUACGGACCCGGUGCAAAGAGUAGUCCGGCAAAGAGUAGUCGGGCCAACGCUUUUUCGGAGAAUUUAUGGUCCCUCUUUAUCGGCAUGAAAUUCGGAACGGGGAAAAGCCGCUCUCCAUAAAAAUUCAUAGCUUGCGUAAACGUCUCUUCGCUUCUCGGCCACACUUGACAAACUGCGGUCUAUCCCUUCGUUUCACGAGAUAUCGAUCUUUCCACACUAUGUGUAUAUCUAUCUGUCUAUCUAUAUACAUAUAUCACUGUAAUAUUUUUAUUCGUGGUUCUUCGAAAAAAAAAGAGAAAAAAGA